GGAAGGGGCCUGGCCGAGCGCGCACCUGCACACGUGCGCCGGAAGGCGGGAGGUCAUUCCGCGGCCCAGCUGGUUUGUUUUCAACAAUACGAUCAAAGCCACACGCCCACCGGUAUUUACGCCGUCAGCCAGCGCCGGCACUCGGAGGGAGGAAGGAAGCACCUAAGGCGCUGGGGGCGGAAACACUGAGGAGGAGGACUGCGCCUCAGGCGAGAGUUGGCCGGCGCCGACCGGGCCUGGGGCAGGGGCCGCAGCUCCCCCCCUGGGACCGCGCACAAAGGCCCGAAGUCCGGGCCGCACUCACCGAAGUCCAGGAACUGCUUCAUGGAGAGCGGGGACGGUGAGAAGCGCGCGUAGAAGUCCACCUGGCCCGGAACGCCGCGCUCGGACGCCGGGCCAAAGCCCGAGUCCGAGCUGAAGGUGCAGCUGGGGCCGGCGGCGCGCAGCCCCGGGCCCGGGACUGCCAAGGCGGCUCCACGAAGCAGCCGCGCCAGCCUCAUGCCGAGCCGCGCUAGAGAAACCAGAGCCCGGACGCCACGUUUCUCCGCGCCUCCGCCGAGUGCAUGGUAUCGGGGAACACUGUCAUCGUACCUAGAGCGUUUGAAGAAUCCACACUGGAGAAGAGGGAAAAAGAAAGAGAAACCAAUUAAUCUCACAAAGAAGCAAGUGCAGUAAAUGGGAAUGUCUAAGCUUUCUGUUCAGCUAUGUCUACCUCUGGACUACGGGGAAAAAGACAUGGUUUUCUUAAGAAAGAACUGAGAGGUUGAAAUGAAAGAACAGCCAGUGGGGAUCAACGGAAGAGAACUGCUGUAAAACUGGAAGAAACGUCCAUUUUCAUCUUCUCUUUACAUUUUAUAACAAAUGUAGGCUACCUCUUUACUAACAAUUUAAGACUUUAUGAAAACAGUGCUUCCAUAUUUUAAAAUAAUCACUAUAUGUAAAAGAUCUAAUUAUCAGAUUAGAAUAUCAUUUUAAGAAUAAUUUUUAAAAGGCAUAAACCAAAGAUUAUUUCAUGCCCCUCUCCCACUAAUAAAAUGCAAAUCAUGUCACAAGUAUUUUACUAAUUACUAUUUGAAUAUGCCAGAGUUCCAACAGGUCAAUUUAAUAAUCUUUUUCUCUCCUCUGAGGCUCUAGUACACGUAUCACUCCUCUCAUUAGCUAGGAUGUAAUUUAUGUUGCCUGGAUUUGCUGUUGUGCUUCUAAUUAAGCUAUUUCAUUAAUAAAUCACAUAGUAACUGUUUCCUGCAAUAAAAAUCAUAUGCUGCAUAGGACUUGAGAAGUGUAUCACUACAGUGAAUUGCAGAGCAGUCCCUAAUUUUUCUUCUUUAAAUUGUUAAUGUGUAAGAUGUGUGUGUAUAUAUAUCAUUUAAAUAUUCAAUCUGAUCCAAAGUAUAUUUUUACUGAGAAUAUAUCUGAAAAAAAUUGAGAUUAAAUUUUUAAUGAAAUAUACUACUUUUCAUGAAAUGAAAACAUUUAAUGAAAUAUAUUUACUUUUAAAAAAGGUGUGUGACUAAAAUGCAGUUUUGAAGAAUGAGAAAUAGUUAUUAAUAGAAUGGUUGAUUAAUGUGUUUAUUAUGUGACAACAGUAACAGGACUUUUACGCUGAAUGAUGUUAUAAAAAUGCCAUGGAGCAAGAUAAAAUUAUAUGCAUAGUUAUCACUAAAUCAAUAGGCAAAAUUUUUGGACCAAAUGUUUUGUUCCAGGUCAUUUCUACAUGGAUUGAUUUAUUAUUCUGUGCAAAAAAAAAAAGCCAAAGUACCUGUUACAAAAUAUGACUGCUGCCUACCCCAUUUAAACAAAGAGGGAAAUUAAAGGUGAUAUGUAAA
This is a long non-coding RNA of Piliocolobus tephrosceles (Ugandan red Colobus), 1826 nucleotides long. RefSeq lists it as uncharacterized. The record is from RefSeq and is a predicted model, not a curated record. Lineage: Eukaryota; Metazoa; Chordata; Mammalia; Primates; Cercopithecidae. The transcript has 2 exons.